This 118-nucleotide ribosomal RNA is filed under the name Aeromonas salmonicida. RNAcentral describes it as "partial 16S ribosomal RNA". It matches the Rfam family "Bacterial small subunit ribosomal RNA", at positions 1 to 105 of the family's 1533-position model. The record is from RNAcentral. Lineage: Bacteria; Pseudomonadati; Pseudomonadota; Gammaproteobacteria; Aeromonadales; Aeromonadaceae.
ACUUAAAUUGAAGAGUUUGAUCAUGGCUCAGAUUGAACGCUGGCGGCAGGCCUAACACAUGCAAGUCGAGCGGCAGCGGGAAAGUAGCUUGCUACUUUUGCCGGCGAGCGGCGGACGG